UACGUAGGGUGCAAGCGUUGUCCGGAAUUAUUGGGCGUAAAGGGCUCGUAGGCGGCCAACUAAGUCGGAUGUGAAAUCCCCAGGCUCAACCUGGGAACUGCAUCCGAUACUGGAUGGCUUGAAUUCGGGAGAGGGAUGCAGAAUUCCAGGUGUAGCGGUGAAAUGCGUAGAUAUCUGGAGGAAUACCGGUGGCGAAGGCGGCAUCCUGGACCGACAUUGACGCUGAUGAGCGAAAGCUAGGGGAGCAAACGGG
Molecule: ribosomal RNA, 253 nt
Filed under: uncultured bacterium
Lineage: Bacteria
Description: partial 16S ribosomal RNA
Rfam family: Bacterial small subunit ribosomal RNA
Source: RNAcentral